GUGAAUAUAGUUUAAAUAAAACCCUAGAUUGUGAUUCUAGGAAUGAGAGAUAGUAUCUCUCUGUUCACC
Molecule: transfer RNA, 69 nt
Filed under: Nanorana pleskei (Tibetan frog)
Lineage: Eukaryota; Metazoa; Chordata; Amphibia; Anura; Dicroglossidae
Description: tRNA-His
Rfam family: tRNA
About the family: Transfer RNA (tRNA) molecules are approximately 80 nucleotides in length. Their secondary structure includes four short double-helical elements and three loops (D, anti-codon, and T loops). Further hydrogen bonds mediate the characteristic L-shaped molecular structure. tRNAs have two regions of fundamental functional importance: the anti-codon, which is responsible for specific mRNA codon recognition, and the 3' end, to which the tRNAs corresponding amino acid is attached (by aminoacyl-tRNA synthetases). tRNAs cope with the degeneracy of the genetic code in two manners: having more than one tRNA (with a specific anti-codon) for a particular amino acid; and 'wobble' base-pairing, i.e. permitting non-standard base-pairing at the 3rd anti-codon position.
Source: RNAcentral